Danio rerio (zebrafish) is the source of this 258-nucleotide non-coding RNA. Lineage: Eukaryota; Metazoa; Chordata; Actinopteri; Cypriniformes; Danionidae. The record is from RefSeq and is a predicted model, not a curated record.
UAAGAUUUACUUUUAUGAGAUCACCUGCAGGAAGCAGGUGAGGAGAUCAGCUGUGAUUCGGUCCGGCGUCAGCGAGCGGCUCAUGACCAGACCAGUCGUUUUUUUCUCCAUGAUCGCCGGAGCAACAGCAGUUUUAACCCGCCGAGGCUUUUAGAACAUUAUAAAGCAGUUUCAGCUCAAAAUGGACCCGUGAGUGUCGUAGACUACCAGUUUGUGAGCUGAUAUGCAGUGGAAAUUGACAUCCAGAAGGAAGUCAUA